Molecule: long non-coding RNA, 919 nt
Filed under: Vigna radiata
Lineage: Eukaryota; Viridiplantae; Streptophyta; Magnoliopsida; Fabales; Fabaceae
Description: long non-coding RNA (VRAD_LNC003751)
Source: RNAcentral
AAUCAGUAAUGUAUUUGACAGUAUGUCCCAUGAAUGAAUUUCUUCGAUAAAGAUAAAUGAGAGUACGACAAAUGAGAAGAAUAAAAAAAAAAUAAGAGUAUAAAGGGGAUAUAAAUGAGAAGAAUAAGAGUAGAAAAAAAAAAGAAAAAGAUAAAAAUGAAAAGGAAAAGUAAGCUAAGGCCAAUGGCGACAAUAAAGAUACGAUGAUUACAAUCAUAAUGACUCGAUAGCCAUGCAAAAGUGUGAUAGUGACAUAAAGGUGUGACGAUGGUGGUUGCUAGAGUUAGAGGAAGUAAAGGAUGAAGAUGAAGAAAAAGAUGAGGAGGAGAAAAAGGAGAAUGAACCCGAAUGGAUGGUGAUUAAUGCAACAGUGACAAUGACAAUGAGGAAAGGAAGAAGAAAACAUAAAAAAAGAAAAAGAAGAUUUUAUUGACAAAUUUUACUAACGAUGACAAUUUUUACCGAUAAAUUUUACUAAGGAUUAGAAUAUGUUGAUAACUAUCAACGAAUUAUGAUCAUCAAUAAUUACCAAUAAAUUUUUAAUUCUCAAUAAUCAAUCAAUAAAAUCAAAUUAUCAACAAACUUUUACUAUUAUUAACUAAUUAUGUCUAUUUGUAAUACACAAAUUAGUAAAUAAGAAUAACAUAGGAGAAAGAGAGAAGGAAAAGCGGGAGGGAGAGUAAUAUGUCAGGGUUUGGUAUAAAUUAUGUGUUCUUUUAAUUUUAUUCCCUUUACAUAUUUACAUAUUGCUCAAUCCCUUCUACGUGGAAUCCAAGAAGGAAAGGCUGAUGUUAAUGUAGUGUUAUACAUGUGUUUUAAAAAAAAUAUAUUUUUAAAAAUUUAUUAAUAAAAGUAUUUCAUAUCUUAUCCAAAAAGCCUCUUUUAUAAAAUUUGUCCCGAAAAUCUUAUUUUAUAAAAC